RNAcentral lists this ribosomal RNA (253 nucleotides) under uncultured bacterium. Its description in RNAcentral is "partial 16S ribosomal RNA". It matches the Rfam family "Bacterial small subunit ribosomal RNA", at positions 524 to 776 of the family's 1533-position model. The record is from RNAcentral.
UACGGGGGGUGCGAGCGUUAAUCGGAAUAACUGGGCGUAAUGGGCACGUAGGUGGUUAUGUAAGUCAGAUGUGAAAUCCCUGGGCUUAACCUAGGAACUGCAUUUGAAACUGUAUGACUAGAGUACUGUAGAGGGAGGUAGAAUUCCAGGUGUAGCGGUGAAAUGCGUAGAUAUCUGGAGGAAUACCGGUGGCGAAGGCGGCCUCCUGGACAGAGACUGACACUGAGGUGCGAAAGCGUGGGGAGCAAACAGG